Molecule: ribosomal RNA, 253 nt
Filed under: uncultured bacterium
Lineage: Bacteria
Description: partial 16S ribosomal RNA
Rfam family: Bacterial small subunit ribosomal RNA
Source: RNAcentral
UACGUAGGGUGCAAGCGUUAAUCGGAAUUACUGGGCGUAAAGCGUGCGCAGGCGGUUAUGCAAGACAGAUGUGAAAUCCCCGGGCUUAACCUGGGAACCGCAUUUGUGACUGCAUAGCUGGAGUACGGCAGAGGGGGAUGGAAUUCCGCGUGUAGCAGUGAAAUGCGUAGAUAUGCGGAGGAACACCGAUGGCGAAGGCAGUCCCCUGGGCCUGUACUGACGCUCAUGCACGAAAGCGUGGGGAGCGAACAGG